This 497-nucleotide ribosomal RNA is filed under the name uncultured bacterium. Its description in RNAcentral is "partial 16S ribosomal RNA". It matches the Rfam family "Bacterial small subunit ribosomal RNA", at positions 28 to 507 of the family's 1533-position model. The record is from RNAcentral.
GAUGAACGCUGGCGGCGUGCCUAAUACAUGCAAGUCGAGCGAACGGACGAGAAGCUUGCUUCUCUGAUGUUAGCGGCGGACGGGUGAGUAACACGUGGAUAACCUACCUAUUAGACUGGGAUAACUUCGGGAAACCGUAGCUAAUACCGCAUAAUAUUUUGAACCGCAUGGUUCAAAUGUGAAAGACGGUCUUGCUGUCACUUAUAGAUGGAUCCGCGUGGCUUUAGCUGGUUGGUAAGGUAACGGCUUACCAAGGCACCGAUGCAUAGCCGCCCUGAGAGGGGGAUCGCCCACACUGGAACGGAGAAACGGCCCGAACUCCAACGGGAGGAAGAAGAAGGGAAUCUUCGGAAAGGGGCGAAAGCCUGACGGAGAAACGCGGCGUAGGUGAUGAGGGUCUUCGGAUCGUAAAACUCGGUUAUAAGGGAAGAACAGAUGUGGAAGUAAAUGUGCACAUCUUGACGGUAGCUAAUCAGAAAGCCACGGCUAACUACGUG